GUGCCUGCUUUGGCAGCACAUGUGCUAAAACUGGAACGACACAGAGAAGACUAGCAGGGCCCCUGCUCGAGGAUGACCCACAGAUUCCAGAAGCGUUCCAUAUUGUU
Fukomys damarensis (Damara mole-rat) is the source of this 107-nucleotide small nuclear RNA. NCBI's taxonomy places the organism in Eukaryota, Metazoa, Chordata, Mammalia, Rodentia, Bathyergidae. The record is from Ensembl.